RNAcentral lists this ribosomal RNA (592 nucleotides) under uncultured Basidiomycota. RNAcentral describes it as "LSU rRNA". It matches the Rfam family "Eukaryotic large subunit ribosomal RNA", at positions 24 to 616 of the family's 3401-position model. The record is from RNAcentral. Lineage: Eukaryota; Fungi; Basidiomycota.
CCCGCUGAACUUAAGCAUAUCAAUAAGCGGAGGAAAAGAAACUAACCAUGAUUCCCCUAGUAACUGCGAGUGAAGCGGGAAAAGCUCAAAUUUAAAAUCUGGCGGUCUUUGGCUGUCCGAGUUGUAAUCUAGAGAAGUGUUACCCGCGUUGGACCGUGUACAAGUCUCCUGGAAUGGAGCGUCAUAGAGGGUGAGAAUCCCGUCUUUGACACGGACUGCCAAGGCUUUGUGGUGCGCUCUCAAAGAGUCGAGUUGUUUGGGAAUGCAGCUCAAAAUGGGUGGUAAAUGCCAUCUAAAGCUAAAUAUUGGCGAGAGACCGAUAGCGAACAAGUACCGUGAGGGAAAGAUGAAGAGAACUUUGGAAAGAGAGUUAAACAGUACGUGAAAUUGCUGAAAGGGAAACGCUUGAAGUCAGUCGCGUUGGCUGGAAAUCAACCUUACUUUUGUUGGGUGUACUUUCUGGUUGACGGGUCAGUAUCAGUUUUGACCGGUGGAUAAAGGUGCAGGGAAUGUGGCUCCCUCGGGAUGUGUUAUACCUGUAUCAUAUACAUCGGUUGGGACUGAGGUACUCAGCGCGCCGCGAAGGCCGGGU